AUAAUGCGUGGUUUGCAUCUCAUUUGUAACAAAAUUGUUCACCCUGUUCUAAGCUCCCAAGACACUAACCAUAUGGGAAAAAAAUAAUGUUUCGACGCUAUCUCUAUUUUUAAUUAAUUGGACUUUCGCAGACGUUGUACCUACAUGCACGGUACCUCGUUGGAAAGGAAAUUCAUUUUACUAAUUAACAAAUGCGGUUCGGCGAACGAAAAGCCGUCAGUUUUUGAGAAAAAAGCAUAAUGCGUGGUUUGCAUCUCAUUUGUAACAAAAUUGUUCACCCUGUUCUAAGCUCCCAAGACACUAACCAUAUGGGAAAAAAAUAAUGUUUCGACGCUAUCUCUAUUUUUAAUUAAUUGGACUUUCGCAGACGUUGUACCUACAUGCACGGUACCUCGUUGGAAAGGAAAUUCAUUUUACUAAUUAACAAAUGCGGUUCGGCGAACGAAAAGCCGUCAGUUUUUGAGAAAAAAGCAUAAUGCGUGGUUUGCAUCUCAUUUGUAACAAAAUUGUUCACCCUGUUCUAAGCUCCCAAGACACUAACCAUAUGGGAAAAAAAUAAUGUUUCGACGCUAUCUCUAUUUUCAAUUAAUUUGACUUUCACAGACGUUGUACCAACAUGCACGGUACCUCGUUGGAAAGGAAAUUCAUUUUACUAAUUAACAAAUGUGGUUCGGCAAACGAAAAGCCGUCAGUUUUUGAGAAAAACGCAUAGUGCGUUGUGGGCAUCUCAUUUUUACCAAAAUUUUAGCUAGGAACACAUUAACCUUAUAUCGAUACCCUAUAUCGAUACUUCGAUAAAAACGAAUGCACGAGGCCUGGAGAAGAAAUAAUUAAUAUAUUUUACUAAAACUCUUAAAAUGGGAAUUUCUAAAAAACUACUGACCCGAUUUUAAUAAAUAAUACAUCAAAUUGAUCAGGUGUGCGAGUAUAAUCGAAGACGUUGCCAGAGCGCAAGGGCAGCUCCUUCAAAUGCACGAGGGCUGGAGAAGAAAUAAUUAAUAUAUUUUACUAAAACUCUUAAAAUGGGAAUUUCUAAUAAACUACUGACCCGAUUUUAAUAAAUAAUACAUCAAAUUGAUCAGGCGUUGCCAGAGCGCAAGGGCAGCUCCUUCAAAUGCACGAGGGCUGGAGAAGAAAUAAUUAAUAUAUUUUACUGAAACUUUUAAAAUGUGAAUUUCUAGUAAACUAGAACUAUAUCAAAUUGAUCAGGCAUGUCUUUAAUUCAUUAAAAAUAUUCUUUAACACAAGUCCGUUUUUAUUGGACUUUUUUUUAUUUUAUUAAAGUAUUUUAUAAAAAAACAAUUGUAAUGAAAAUCGGUGGGAAACAGCAUUGUGUAGCUGACCCCGUUUAAGGAACUCAGAAUUUGUACAAAAUACACGAAUUUGUCAUACCCUACAAAAAAUAAAAUUAAAAAAACUCGAUAUUUUCCUUAGUGUAUUUUAUAAAAAAACAAUUGUAAUGAAAAUCGGUGGGAAACAGCAUUGUGUAGCUGACCCCGUUUAAGGAACUCAGAAUUUGUACAAAAUACACGAAUUUGUCAUACCCUACAAAAAAUAAAAUUAAAAAAACUCGAUAUUUUCCUUAGUGUAUUUUAUAAAAAAACAAUUGUAAUGAAAAUCGGUGGGAAACAGCAUUGUGUAGCUGACCCCGUUUAAGGAACUCAGAA
Non-coding RNA from Drosophila suzukii, 1667 nucleotides. NCBI's taxonomy places the organism in Eukaryota, Metazoa, Arthropoda, Insecta, Diptera, Drosophilidae. The record is from RefSeq and is a predicted model, not a curated record.